UCUAGGUGUUUCGUAUGUGGUGUAGAACUAGAAGAUGAACACCAUGCCAUUGCAUGUUGCAAUACAGCGAGAGCAUUGAGGGAUGGCAUGCAUAGGGUCUGGACUUUGCCACCUGAAUCACAGUUUAGACCUACUGGGACAGAAUGGUUCCUGCAACUGCUUAGUCGAUCAUCAAAAGAUAAAAGGGAAUUGAUCUUGUUUUUGCUCAGGUGAGAAUGGCACCACCAUAAUAAUAUUGUACAUGGUAAUGGCAAGGCCUCAAUUGCAGCCUCGGUCACUUUCUUAUAG
Molecule: ribosomal RNA, 288 nt
Filed under: Triticum aestivum (bread wheat)
Lineage: Eukaryota; Viridiplantae; Streptophyta; Magnoliopsida; Poales; Poaceae
Description: partial small subunit ribosomal RNA
Source: RNAcentral